RNAcentral lists this small nuclear RNA (108 nucleotides) under Prolemur simus (greater bamboo lemur). Lineage: Eukaryota; Metazoa; Chordata; Mammalia; Primates; Lemuridae. The record is from RNAcentral.
GUGCUUGCUUCAGGCAGUACAUAUACUAAAAUUGGAACGAUACAAAGAAGAUUAGCAUGGCCCCUGAACAAGGAUGACAUGCAAAUUCAGGAAGUGUUCCAUAUUUUU